UACGUAGGGGCAAGCGUUAUCCGGAUUUACUGGGUGUAAAGGGAGCGCAGACGGAACUGCAAGUCUGAUGUGAAAGCCCGGGGCUCAACCGCGGGACUGCAUCGGAUACUGUGGAUCUGGAGUGCCGGAGGGGCAAGCGGAAUUCCUGGUGUAGCGGUGAAAUGCGUAGAUAUCAGGAGGAAUACCGGUGGCGAAGGCGGGUCUCUGGGCCUUACCUGACGCUGAGGAGCGAAAGCAUGGGUAGCCAACAGGAUUAGAUACCCU
RNAcentral lists this ribosomal RNA (264 nucleotides) under uncultured prokaryote. Its description in RNAcentral is "partial 16S ribosomal RNA". It matches the Rfam family "Bacterial small subunit ribosomal RNA", at positions 524 to 788 of the family's 1533-position model. The record is from RNAcentral.